AUACUUACCUGGCAGGGGAGAUACUAUGAUCAGUAAGGUGGUUCUCCCAGGCCGAGGCUAUCCUAUUGUACACCGGGUUUGCUGAUGCCUGCGAUGUUCCGAAAUGCGGGAUACUCGGCUGCAAAAUUUGUGGUAGUGGGGGACUGCGUUCGCGCUCUCCCCUG
Small nuclear RNA from Rhincodon typus (whale shark), 164 nucleotides. RefSeq annotates it as U1 spliceosomal RNA. NCBI's taxonomy places the organism in Eukaryota, Metazoa, Chordata, Chondrichthyes, Orectolobiformes, Rhincodontidae. The record is from RefSeq and is a predicted model, not a curated record. The transcript has a single exon.